Molecule: ribosomal RNA, 496 nt
Filed under: uncultured bacterium
Lineage: Bacteria
Description: partial 16S ribosomal RNA
Rfam family: Bacterial small subunit ribosomal RNA
Source: RNAcentral
GAUGAACGCUGGCGGCGUGCCUAAUACAUGCAAGUCGAGCGAACAGACGAGGAGCUUGCUCCUCUGACGUUAGCGGCGGACGGGUGAGUAACACGUGGAUAACCUACCUAUAAGACUGGGAUAACUUCGGGAACCGGAGCUAAUACCGGAUAAUAUAUUGAACCGCAUGGUUCAAUAGUGAAAGACGGUUUUGCUGUCACUUAUAGAUGGAUCCGCGCCGCAUUAGCUAGUUGGUAAGGUAACGGCUUACCAAGGCGACGAUGCGUAGCCGACCUGAGAGGGUGAUCAGCCACACUGGAACUGAGACACGGUCCAGACUCCUACGGGAGGCAGCAGUAGGGAAUCUUCCGCAAUGGGCGAAAGCCUGACGGAGCAACGCCGCGUGAGUGAUGAAGGUCUUCGGAUCGUAAAACUCUGUUAUUAGGGAAGAACAAAUGUGUAAGUAACUAUGCACGUCUUGACGGUACCUAAUCAGAAAGCCACGGCUAACUACGUG